ACCGCGGGGCACAGGGGUGCGCGAGGGCGGAGGGGGUGUGGGGAGGGUCGGGGGAUGUUUCUCGGCCCACAAACCAGUCUGUUGGCGUCUGAUUUCAGAUCCUGAGUCGACUCCCUGGAGCAGAAGCUUUAUGAAGAUCUCAUUGGAAUCCAGCGGAUGAUUAAUGUGAAGAUUUGGUAGGAAAUCUGGAGAGCUGUAUUAAAGCUCAGAUCUCAGGUUCAUUUCGAUCAGCCAGCCGUGAACUCUAGGCCGAAUUCAUUACACUUUAAUAGUGCUGGGAGAGAAAGAAAAUGCAAUUUCUCAUUCCAUUAGAAAACUAGAAAAUACUCUCAGCUUGUCCCCUAUUAAGAUGUGGCAGGUGACGGGACCAUUGUGGGGGACACGGUCAAUGGAAUUACAGCACAUUAUUUUUGUUCGUAUAAAAUAUUGGAAGGCAAGCCUGACUGUGCAGAAGUUAUUUCACUGAUUUGGUUUUUAUGUAAAUAAAAUAUUGAAAGUUAA
This is a long non-coding RNA of Chiroxiphia lanceolata (lance-tailed manakin), 501 nucleotides long. RefSeq lists it as uncharacterized. The record is from RefSeq and is a predicted model, not a curated record. NCBI's taxonomy places the organism in Eukaryota, Metazoa, Chordata, Aves, Passeriformes, Pipridae. The transcript is spliced from 2 exons.